AGAGUUUGAUCCUGGCUCAGGACGAACGCUGGCGGCGUGCUUAACACAUGCAAGUGGAGCGACGAACCGGGCUUCGGCCCGGGGCAAAGCCGCGAACGGGUGAGUAACACGUGGGUAACCUGCCCCGAUGAUUGGGACAACCUCGGGAAACCGAGGCUAAUACCAAAUGUGCUCACGUCUCGCGAGAGACGUGUGGAAAGGAAGCUUCGGCCUCCGCAUCGGGAUGGGCCCGCGGCGCAUUAGCUAGUUGGUGAGGUAAUGGCUUACCAAGGCUUCGAUGCGUAGCUGGUCUGAGAGGACGAUCAGCCACACUGGGACUGAGACACGGCCCAGACUCCUACGGGAGGCAGCAGUGGGGAAUCUUGCGCAAUGCGCGAAAGCGUGACGCAGCAACGCCGCGUGCGGGAAGACGGCCUUCGGGUUGUAAACCGCUUUCAGUUGGGACGAAGCUUCGCCGGUGAAUAGCCGGCCGGAGUGACGGUACCUUCAGAAGAAGCCCCGGCUAACUACGUGCCAGCAGCCGCGGUAAUACGUAGGGGGCGAGCGUUGUCCGGAAUCAUUGGGCGUAAAGCGCGUGUAGGCGGCCCGGUAAGUCCGCUGUGAAAGUCCAGGGCUCAACCCUGGGAUGCCGGUGGAUACUGUCGGGCUCGAGUCCGGAGGAGGCGAGUGGAAUUCCUGGUGUAGCGGUGAAAUGCGCAGAUAUCAGGAGGAACACCAAUGGCGAAGGCAGCUCGCUGGGACGUGACUGACGCUGAGACGCGAAAGCGUGGGGAGCAAACAGGAUUAGAUACCCUGGUAGUCCACGCCGUAAACGAUGGGCACUAGGUGUGGGGGGUGUCGACUCCCUCCGUGCCGAAGCCUACGCAUUAAGUGCCCCGCCUGGGGAGUACGGCCCGAAGGCUAAAAACUCAAAGGAAUUGACCGGGGCCCCGCACAAAGCAGCGAAGCAUGGUGUUUUAAUUCCGACGCAACGCGAAGAAACCUUACCUGGGGCUUGGCCUGUUCCCUGAACGCCCCUGGAAAACAGGGGGUUUCCCUUUUCG
Molecule: ribosomal RNA, 1043 nt
Filed under: uncultured bacterium
Lineage: Bacteria
Description: bacterial SSU rRNA
Rfam family: Bacterial small subunit ribosomal RNA
Source: RNAcentral